Molecule: long non-coding RNA, 527 nt
Organism: Ceratitis capitata (Mediterranean fruit fly)
Lineage: Eukaryota; Metazoa; Arthropoda; Insecta; Diptera; Tephritidae
Exons: 3
Source: RefSeq, a predicted model, not a curated record
UUAGGUACCAGUAAAUUAUCUGCUUACCGAAAGUAUGCCUCAUAUCUGCCGCUAUCAGCAUAUCUGGGAUUAAGCGACUAUCUUAGUUACCUACCAAUAGCCAUCAAACCUUAGCUCCAGUUUGCUGCCAAAUCAAGUGCCCAACAACAUGACAUCUUCAUCAGGCGACAGACAACAGAGCAGAAAAAAAUAGCAUAAAGCAUGCCACGCUGAUGAUACUAAAUAUAUAGCAAGAAGUAAGGAGAAAAGGCGCUAGCGCAGGAGCAAGAGCGUACAAACACAGUAGCGCCACCAACGCCUUUAGCGUUGCAACAGCAACAUCAAACUACAACAAUAAUAAUAACAAUAACGGCAACAACAGCACGAUAAACCGCAGCCAGCUGCAAGCACAGGCGGUGAGUAGUGACCAGUGGCCCGUUGGCUGAGUUCAUCGGAAUUACCAACAGCAUUCAAAGGACAACAAUUACAAGGGUUUCAUGAAGAAAAUAGGCAAAAGAAAAAAAGGCGAAGGAAACAAAAAGUUUUUU